AACGAACGCUGGCGGCAGGCUUAACACAUGCAAGUCGAGCGAGACCUUCGGGUCUAGCGGCGGACGGGUGAGUAACGCGUGGGAACGUGCCCUUCUCUACGGAAUAGCCCCGGGAAACUGGGAGUAAUACCGUAUACGCCCUUUGGGGGAAAGAUUUAUCGGAGAAGGAUCGGCCCGCGUUGGAUUAGGUAGUUGGUGGGGUAAUGGCCCACCAAGCCGACGAUCCAUAGCUGGUUUGAGAGGAUGAUCAGCCACACUGGGACUGAGACACGGCCCAGACUCCUACGGGAGGCAGCAGUGGGGAAUCUUAGACAAUGGGGGCAACCCUGAUCUAGCCAUGCCGCGUGAGUGAUGAAGGCCUUAGGGUUGUAAAGCUCUUUCAGCUGGGAAGAUAAUGACGGUACUAGCAGAAGAAGCCCCGGCUAACUCCGUG
This 433-nucleotide ribosomal RNA is filed under the name uncultured bacterium. Its description in RNAcentral is "partial 16S ribosomal RNA". It matches the Rfam family "Bacterial small subunit ribosomal RNA", at positions 29 to 507 of the family's 1533-position model. The record is from RNAcentral.